GGGCCCGCACAAGCAGCGGUAGCGUGUGGUUUAACUCGAUGUUACACGAAGAACCUUACCAGGUUUGACAUGCAAGUGGUAGGAAGCCGAAAGGUGACCGACCCUUCGGGAGCGUUCACAGGUGCUGCAUGGCUGUCGUCAGCUCGUGCCGUGAGGUGUCGGGUUAAGUCCCGUAACGAGCGCAACCCCUGUCCUUAGUUACAAGUGUCUAAGGGGACUGCCGGCGGUAAGCCGGAGGAAGGUGGGAUGACGUCAAGUCAGCAUGGCCCAUAUGUCCAGGGCUACACACACGCUACAAUGGCCAGUACAAUGGGCAGCGAGACCGCGAGGUGGAGCGAAUCCCAACAAAAGCUGGUCAUAGUUCGAAUUGCAGGCUGCAACUCGCCUGCAUGAAGCUGGAGUUGCUAGUAACCGCGCGUCAGCUAUAGUGCGGUGAAUACGUUCCCGGGGCUU
RNAcentral lists this ribosomal RNA (453 nucleotides) under uncultured Anaerolineaceae bacterium. RNAcentral's name for it is "bacterial SSU rRNA". It matches the Rfam family "Bacterial small subunit ribosomal RNA", at positions 917 to 1382 of the family's 1533-position model. Lineage: Bacteria; Bacillati; Chloroflexota; Anaerolineae; Anaerolineales; Anaerolineaceae. The record is from RNAcentral.